UAAAACUUGGUACUAAGGCAGCUCCCACAA
RNAcentral lists this non-coding RNA (30 nucleotides) under Rattus norvegicus (Norway rat). Lineage: Eukaryota; Metazoa; Chordata; Mammalia; Rodentia; Muridae. The record is from RNAcentral.